This 448-nucleotide ribosomal RNA is filed under the name uncultured bacterium. RNAcentral describes it as "bacterial SSU rRNA". It matches the Rfam family "Bacterial small subunit ribosomal RNA", at positions 355 to 796 of the family's 1533-position model. The record is from RNAcentral.
UCGAGAAUUUUUCUCAAUGGGGGAAACCCUGAAGGAGCGACGCCGCGUGGAGGAUGAAGGCUUUCGGGUUGUAAACUCCUGUCAUUUGGGAACAAUGCUACCGAGUUAACUGUUCGGUAGUUGAUAGUACCAGAAGAGGAAGAGACGGCUAACUCUGUGCCAGCAGCCGCGGUAAUACAGAGGUCUCAAGCGUUGUUCGGAUUCAUUGGGCGUAAAGGGUGCGUAGGUGGCGUGGUAAGUCGGGUGUGAAAUUUCGGAGCUUAACUCCGAAACUGCAUUCGAUACUGCCGUGCUUGAGGACUGGAGAGGAGACUGGAAUUUACGGUGUAGCAGUGAAAUGCGUAGAGAUCGUAAGGAAGACCAGUGGCGAAGGCGGGUCUCUGGACAGUUCCUGACACUGAGGCACGAAGGCCAGGGGAGCAAACGGGAUUAGAUACCCCCGUAGUCC